GCUUACGGCCACACCGGCCUGAGUACGCCUGAUCUCGUCCGAUCUCGGAAGCUAAGCAGGGUCGGGCCUGGUUAGUACUUGGAUGGAAGACCGCCUGGGAAUACCAGGUGCUGUAAGCC
This 119-nucleotide ribosomal RNA is filed under the name Oncorhynchus mykiss (rainbow trout). Lineage: Eukaryota; Metazoa; Chordata; Actinopteri; Salmoniformes; Salmonidae. The record is from RNAcentral.